This 301-nucleotide ribosomal RNA is filed under the name uncultured bacterium. Its description in RNAcentral is "partial 16S ribosomal RNA". It matches the Rfam family "Bacterial small subunit ribosomal RNA", at positions 509 to 807 of the family's 1533-position model. The record is from RNAcentral.
CAGUCGCCGCGGUAAUGCGUAGGUGGCAAGCGUUGUCCGGAAUUAUUGGGCGUAAAGGGCUCGCAGGCGGUUUCUUAAGUCUGAUGUGAAAGCCCCCGGCUCAACCGGGGAGGGUCAUUGGAAACUGGGAAACUUGAGUGCAGAAGAGGAGAGUGGAAUUCCACGUGUAGCGGUGAAAUGCGUAGAGAUGUGGAGGAACACCAGUGGCGAAGGCGACUCUCUGGUCUGUAACUGACGCUGGGGAGCGAAAGCGUGGGGAGCAAACAGGAUUAGAUACCCCGGUAGUCCCUGUCUCUUAUAC